CAGCAGCCGCGGUAAUACAUAGGUGGCAAGCGUUAUCCGGAAUUAUUGGGCGUAAAGCGUGCGUAGGCGGUUUAUUAAGUCUGGUGUGAAAUAUUACAGCUUAACUGUAAAGGGUCAUUGGAAACUGGUAAACUUGAGUACGGUAGGGGCAAGUGGAAUUCCAAGUGGAGCGGUGGAAUGCGUAGAUAUUUGGAGGAACACCAGUAGCGAAGGCGGCUUGCUGGGCCGGAACUGACGCUGAGGCACGAAAGCGUGGGGAGCAAACAGGAUUAGAUACCCUGGUAGUCCACGCCGUAAACGAUGAGUAUUAAGUGUCGGACAUAAGUUCGGUGCUGUCGUUAACACAAUAAAUACUCCGCCUGGGGAGUACGGUCGCAAGACUGAAACUCAAAGGAAUUGACGGGGACUCGCACAAGCGGUGGAGCAUGCGGAUUAAUUCGAUGCAACGCGAAGAACCUUACCAGGCCUUGACAUCCUGUUGACCGGGCUAGAGAUAGUCCUUUCCUUCGGGACAACAGAGACAGGUGGUGCAUGGCC
This 537-nucleotide ribosomal RNA is filed under the name uncultured archaeon. RNAcentral's name for it is "bacterial SSU rRNA". It matches the Rfam family "Bacterial small subunit ribosomal RNA", at positions 509 to 1050 of the family's 1533-position model. The record is from RNAcentral.